RNAcentral lists this ribosomal RNA (468 nucleotides) under uncultured bacterium. Its description in RNAcentral is "partial 16S ribosomal RNA". It matches the Rfam family "Bacterial small subunit ribosomal RNA", at positions 28 to 507 of the family's 1533-position model. The record is from RNAcentral.
GACGAACGCUGGCGGCGUGCUUAACACAUGCAAGUCGAACGGAAAGGCCCUGCUUUUGUGGGGUGCUCGAGUGGCGAACGGGUGAGUAACACGUGAGUAACCUGCCCUUCACUUUGGGAUAACCUUAGGAAACUGGGGCUAAUACCGGAUAGGAGCUUCUGUUGCAUGGUGGGGGUUGGAAAGUUUCGGCGGUUGGGGAUGGACUCGCGCUUUAUGAGUUUGUUGGUGGGGUAGUGGUUUACCAAGGCUUUGACGGGUCGCCGGCCUGAGAGUGUGCCCGGCCAUUGUGAGACUGAGAUAGGGCCCAGACUCAUGCGGGGGGGAACAGGGGAAAAUAUUACACAGUGGGCGGGAGCCAGGUGCAGCAGCGCCGCGUGCGGGGUGACGGCCUUCGGGUUAUAAACCGCUUUCGCCUGUGACGGAGCGUCAGUGACGGUAAUGGGUAAAGAAGCACCGGCUAACUACGUG